GAUGAACGCUGGCGGCGUGCCUAAUACAUGCAAGUCGAGCGAACGGACGAGAAGCUUGCUUCUCUGAUGUUAGCGGCGGACGGGUGAGUAACACGUGGAUAACCUACCUAUAAGACUGGGAUAACUUCGGGAAACCGGAGCUAAUACCGGAUGAUAUUUUGAACCGCAUGGUUCAAAAGUGAAAGACGGUCUUGCUGUCACUUAUAGAUGGAUCCGCGCUGCAUUAGCUAGUUGGUAAGGUAACGGCUUACCAAGGCAACGAUGCAUAGCCGACCUGAGAGGGUGAUCGGCCACACUGGAACUGAGACACGGUCCAGACUCCUACGGGAGGCAGCAGUAGGGAAUCUUCCGCAAGGGGCGAAAGCCUGACGGAGCAACGCCGCGUGAGUGAUGAAGGUCUUCGGAUCGUAAAACGCUGUUAUUAGGGAAGAACAUAUGUGUAAGUAACUGUGCACAUCUUGACGGUACCUAAUCAGAAAGCCACGGCUAACUACGUG
RNAcentral lists this ribosomal RNA (497 nucleotides) under uncultured bacterium. Its description in RNAcentral is "partial 16S ribosomal RNA". It matches the Rfam family "Bacterial small subunit ribosomal RNA", at positions 28 to 507 of the family's 1533-position model. The record is from RNAcentral.